GACGAACGCUGGCGGCGUGCCUAAUACAUGCAAGUAGAACGCACAGUUUAUACCGUAGCUUGCUACACCAUAGACUGUGAGUUGCGAACGGGUGAGUAACGCGUAGGUAACCUGCCUGGUAGCGGGGGAUAACUAUUGGAAACGAUAGCUAAUACCGCAUAAUAUUAAUUAUUGCAUGAUAAUUAAUUGAAAGGUGCAAUUGCACCACUACCAGAUGGACCUGCGUUGUAUUAGCUAGUAGGUGAGGUAACGGCUCACCUAGGCGACGAUACAUAGCCGACCUGAGAGGGUGAUCGGCCACACUGGGACUGAGACACGGCCCAGAAUCCUACGGGAGGCAGCAGUAGGGAAUCUUCGGCAAUGGACGAAAGUCUGACCGAGCAACGCCGCGUGAGGGAAGAAGGUUUUCGGAUCGUAAAGCUCUGUUGUAAGAGAAGAACGGGUGUGAGAGUGGAAAGUUCACACUGUGACGGUAUCUUACCAGAAAGGGACGGCUAACUACGUG
This 505-nucleotide ribosomal RNA is filed under the name uncultured bacterium. RNAcentral describes it as "partial 16S ribosomal RNA". It matches the Rfam family "Bacterial small subunit ribosomal RNA", at positions 28 to 507 of the family's 1533-position model. The record is from RNAcentral.